RNAcentral lists this ribosomal RNA (148 nucleotides) under uncultured archaeon. RNAcentral describes it as "partial 16S ribosomal RNA". It matches the Rfam family "Archaeal small subunit ribosomal RNA", at positions 321 to 474 of the family's 1478-position model. The record is from RNAcentral.
UCCUACGGGACGCAUCACGCGCGAAAACUCUACAAUGUGCGAAAGCGCGAUAAGGGAACUCUGAGUGCCUCCUAAGGAGGCUGUUCAGGUGUCUAAAAAGCAUCUGGAGUAAGGGCUGGGCAAGACCGGUGCCAGCCGCCGCGGUAAA